Molecule: long non-coding RNA, 344 nt
Organism: Tupaia belangeri chinensis (Chinese tree shrew)
Lineage: Eukaryota; Metazoa; Chordata; Mammalia; Scandentia; Tupaiidae
Exons: 3
Source: RefSeq, a predicted model, not a curated record
AGUGGGACUAAUCGUUGAUAUUCGGGCAGUAAUAACUUCAAAUGUGGCUUUCACUGCUGUCAUAUUAACUUUGGUCGGAAGAUGGCGGCAAAGUUCAGCUAGUUCUUCAGGAGUCUCUUCUCAAGAGGAAGGCAGCCUGAGCUUGACAGGCCAGGACUGAGCUGACUAUGCUAAUGGAGGACUUGCUAGACUGUACAUGAACUGAAAGGCAACUGUGCACUUCAUCAUUCACAUCAAGCACCUGAGAUAUUCCACUGAGCUUGCAUCUCAGUAAUGGCCAUCUAUCCCUGCCAAUAUGCUCAGAGUUGCUUCUCUCUUUUUAAACCACCACAGUAUCCCAUUGU